UAAAUUGUAGGGAAAUAUAAUACACAAAAAAAAAUGGCUCUAUACAAGAAAAAACCAAACGUACAUACAAUAUUGCAUAUGACUUCUAAACAUAUGUAUGCACAUAUAAUUAGAUUCAAAAUAAGGCAUAUUCAAGUAAAACAAAUAUAAAUAACGUUAACAUCCAUCUAUUAAACAAAAAACAAAAAUCAAUGACAAAGGAAUUUAAAUAAAACCGUUUUAUAUAUAUAUAUAUAACACAAAGGACAUCGUUUGGAAACUAUACAUAAUAAAACUAUCGGAUUGGUAUGAAAUCUUUUGCCCUCCAAUUUUGAUAUUUACAAGUAUUAAGAAGGAUUAGCUAAAUAGAUCCAAUGGCACUUGUCCAAUGGCACUUGUAGUACAUAAUGGACGGCAGAAGCACAACAAGGUAUUAAUUAUUAAGGACUUAAGCAUUUCACGUUCUUGAUAGGAGCUGCUUUAACAUAGAAGUCAGCUUCAUUACAACAAAGCCUAUCAAAUGCUAUAACUUACAUUAAUUUCUGAAAAAGUGAGUGACAUUAGAAAAUAAAAUCCAGGAGUCCGCAAUUCCGGUUCAGGAAAGUUAAAGCUUGGUUUUGAAUUUAAAUUUCGCGAUCGCUGGCUUAAGUGGAUAUUGAAUUAACAACUGAAAAUCCUAUAUGUACACAAUCAUUGAUUAAGUAUAUUUGUUCCCGUAAAAUGUAAAACUGGAUUUGAGGAGUGAAGUAAAUUAUAACCGCAUCAGUGAAAGAAAUCGAUUAUCAUAAGUUUGAAUCACUACCACUAAUUUGGAAAAUAUGAACAGAGUGGAAUUAGUUGGUGGGCUGUCUUAUUAUCCAAAUGAAGGACUAAAUUGUAACCAAUCAGGCACCACACUCAAUCGUCCUAUUACACAAUCAAUGAUUAAGUAUAUUUGUUCUCGUCAAAUGUAAAACUGGGUGUGAGAAGUGAAUAAACCUUUAUCGCAUCUGUGAAAGAAAUCAAGAAAUCGAUGAUCAUAAGUUUAAAUCACUACCACUAAUUUGGAAAAUAUGAACAGAGUGGAAUUAGUUGGUGGGCUGUCAUAUUCUCCAAAUGAAGGACCAAAUUGUAACCUAUCAGUCACCACACUCAAUCGUUCUAUUACACAAUCAAUGAUUAAGUAUAUUUGUUCCCGUAAAAUGUAAAACUGGGUGUGGGAAGUGAAUAAACCUUUAUCGUAUCUGUGAAAGAAAUCAAGAAAUCUAUGAUCAUAAGUUUGAAACACUACCAGUAAUUUGGAAAAUAUGAACAGAGUGGAAUUAGUUGGUGGGCUAUCAUAUUAUCCAAAUGAAGGACCAAUUUGUAAAUGAUCUUAUAAAAUGUAAAAGGGACUGUGAGGCGUGGAAUUCGUCUGGGUAGUGCCAUAUUAUCCGAAGGAAGGAUAUCAGUUUUAAACCUAUCAAUGGUUAAUAAACAAAGGUUAACAAUGAGAAGACUAGAGAUUUGGUUUUCCUAAAAUGUAUGUGGAAUU
Molecule: long non-coding RNA, 1492 nt
Organism: Teleopsis dalmanni
Lineage: Eukaryota; Metazoa; Arthropoda; Insecta; Diptera; Diopsidae
Exons: 6
Source: RefSeq, a predicted model, not a curated record